UGCAAGUCGAGCGGACCGACGGGAGCUUGCUCCCUUAGGUCAGCGGCGGACGGGUGAGUAACACGUGGGUAACCUGCCUGUAAGACUGGGAUAACUCCGGGAAACCGGGGCUAAUACCGGAUGCUUGAUUGAACCGCAUGGUUCCAAUCAUAAAAGGUGGCUUUCAGCUACCACUUACUGAUGGACCCGCGGCGCAUUAGCUAGUUGGUGAGGUAACGGCUCACCAAGGCGACGAUGCGUAGCCGACCUGAGAGGGUGGUCGGCCACACUGGGACUGAGACACGGCCCAGACUCCUACGGGAGGCAGCAGUAGGGAAUCUUCCGCAAUGGACGAAAGUCUGACGGAGCAACGCCGCGUGAGUGAUGAAGGUUUUCGGAUCGUAAAACUCUGUUGUUAGGGAAGAACAAGUACCGUUCGAAUAGGGCGGCACCUUGACGGUACCUAACCAGAAAGCCACGGCUAACUACGUGCCAGCAGCCGCGGUAAUACGUAGGUGGCAAGCGUUGUCCGGAAUUAUUGGGCGUAAAGCGCGCGCAGGCGGUUUCUUAAGUCUGAUGUGAAAGCCCCCGGCUCAACCGGGGAGGGUCAUUGGAAACUGGGGAACUUGAGUGCAGAAGAGGAGAGUGGAAUUCCACGUGUAGCGGUGAAAUGCGUAGAGAUGUGGAGGAACACCAGUGGCGAAGGCGACUCUCUGGUCUGUA
This 702-nucleotide ribosomal RNA is filed under the name uncultured Bacilli bacterium. Its description in RNAcentral is "bacterial SSU rRNA". It matches the Rfam family "Bacterial small subunit ribosomal RNA", at positions 56 to 738 of the family's 1533-position model. The record is from RNAcentral. Lineage: Bacteria; Bacillati; Bacillota; Bacilli.